GUGCUCAUUUUGGCAGCACAUAUACUAAAAAUUGGAGUAUAAAGAGAAGAUUAGCAUGGCCUCUGUCCAAGGAUGACAUGCAAAUUCGUGAAACAUUCCAUAUUUUU
Small nuclear RNA from Octodon degus (degu), 107 nucleotides. The record is from Ensembl. Lineage: Eukaryota; Metazoa; Chordata; Mammalia; Rodentia; Octodontidae.